RNAcentral lists this ribosomal RNA (429 nucleotides) under bacterium. RNAcentral's name for it is "partial 16S ribosomal RNA". It matches the Rfam family "Bacterial small subunit ribosomal RNA", at positions 355 to 776 of the family's 1533-position model. The record is from RNAcentral.
UAGGGUAUCUUCGGCAAUGGGGGCAACCCUGACCGAGCAACGCCGCGUGAGUGAAGAAGGUUUUCGGAUCGUAAAGCUCUGUUGUAAGAGAAGAACGUGUGUGAGAGUGGAAAGUUCACACAGUGACGGUAACUUACCAGAAAGGGACGGCUAACUACGUGCCAGCAGCCGCGGUAAUACGUAGGUCCCGAGCGUUGUCCGGAUUUAUUGUGCGUAAAGCGAGCGCAGGCGGUUUAAUAAGUCUGAAGUUAAAGGCAGUGGCUUAACCAUUGUUCGCUUUGGAAACUGUUAAACUUGAGUGCAGAAGGGGGGAGUGGAAUUCCAUGUGUAGCGGUGAGAUGCGUAGAUAUAUGGAGGAACACCGGUGGCGAAAGCGGCUCUCUUGUCUGUAACUGACGCUGAGGCUCGAAAGCGUGGGGAGCAAACAGG